Molecule: signal recognition particle RNA, 270 nt
Filed under: Candidatus Electryoneaceae bacterium
Lineage: Bacteria; Pseudomonadati; Candidatus Electryoneota; Candidatus Electryoneia; Candidatus Electryoneales; Candidatus Electryoneaceae
Description: signal recognition particle sRNA large type
Rfam family: Bacterial large signal recognition particle RNA
About the family: The signal recognition particle (SRP) is a universally conserved ribonucleoprotein involved in the co-translational targeting of proteins to membranes. Archaeal SRP consists of a 7S RNA and homologues of the eukaryotic SRP19 and SRP54 proteins.
Source: RNAcentral
CUGUGCUAAACGGGAAGUUAGCGGUGUCCUGUAACCCGCAAUCCGCUAUAGCGGGGUUGAAUACCCACACAUGAGGUUCUUAUGCCCUUCAGCAGCUCCGCACGGACGGUGCUUAUAAUCUGGUCCCACGCAGCGAUAACACACCCAACCCCGUCAGGACCGGAAGGUAGCAGCGGUAAGUGUCGUAGUCGGGUGCCGUGGGGGUGCUGGGUUUCAGUCGUCCGGCGGCAGUGUCGUUGGAGUGUGCAUAAAAUCGAAGGUGGGGCACAG